Molecule: transfer RNA, 61 nt
Filed under: Cavia porcellus (domestic guinea pig)
Lineage: Eukaryota; Metazoa; Chordata; Mammalia; Rodentia; Caviidae
Rfam family: tRNA
About the family: Transfer RNA (tRNA) molecules are approximately 80 nucleotides in length. Their secondary structure includes four short double-helical elements and three loops (D, anti-codon, and T loops).
Source: Rfam by way of RNAcentral
UGUAGCUCAGUGGUAGAGCUCUUGCCUUGCGUGCACAAGACUCUGGGUUCGAUCCCCAGCA